UAAAAUCAUGCUAAUCUACAGAACUGACACACAGAGAAAAUGAUGAAUUUCAAAGAAGGAAAAGGGCCCGAAGCAAAGGUUUGGGCACCCUGCAUGGUCAGUACUUAGUAACACCUCCUUUGGAGGAAAGCAAGAAGGACG
This is a long non-coding RNA of Hypanus sabinus (Atlantic stingray), 141 nucleotides long. RefSeq lists it as uncharacterized. The record is from RefSeq and is a predicted model, not a curated record. NCBI's taxonomy places the organism in Eukaryota, Metazoa, Chordata, Chondrichthyes, Myliobatiformes, Dasyatidae. The transcript has 3 exons.